RNAcentral lists this ribosomal RNA (324 nucleotides) under Sporosarcina sp. BI001-red. Its description in RNAcentral is "Bacterial small subunit ribosomal RNA". It matches the Rfam family "Bacterial small subunit ribosomal RNA", at positions 1 to 315 of the family's 1533-position model. Lineage: Bacteria; Bacillati; Bacillota; Bacilli; Caryophanales; Caryophanaceae. The record is from Rfam by way of RNAcentral.
UUUAUGGAGAGUUUGAUCCUGGCUCAGGACGAACGCUGGCGGCAUGCCUAAUACAUGCAAGUCGAGCGAAUCACUAGGAGCUUGCUCCUAGUGAUUAGCGGCGGACGGGUGAGUAACACGUGGGCAACCUGCCCUGCAGAUGGGGAUAACUCCGGGAAACCGGGGCUAAUACCGAAUAAUCAGUUCCUUCGCAUGAAGGAACUCUGAAAGACGGUUUCGGCUGUCACUGCAGGAUGGGCCCGCGGCGCAUUAGCUAGUUGGUGGGGUAAUGGCCUACCAAGGCAACGAUGCGUAGCCGACCUGAGAGGGUGAUCGGCCACACUG